This 247-nucleotide ribosomal RNA is filed under the name uncultured bacterium. Its description in RNAcentral is "partial 16S ribosomal RNA". It matches the Rfam family "Bacterial small subunit ribosomal RNA", at positions 523 to 769 of the family's 1533-position model. The record is from RNAcentral.
AUACGAAGGGGGCUAGCGUUGUUCGGAAUUACUGGGCGUAAAGCGUCAUGUAGGCGGACAUUUAAGUCGGGGUGAAAUCCCGGGGCUCAACCUCGGAACUGCCUUUGAUACUGGGUGUCUAGAGUGUGGAAGAGGUAGGUGGAAUUCCGAGUGUAGAGGUGAAAUUCGUAGAUAUUCGGAGGAACACCAGUGGCGAAGGCGGCUUACUGGUCCAUUACUGACGCUGAGGUGCGAAAGCGUGGGGAGC